This 658-nucleotide long non-coding RNA is filed under the name Anser cygnoides (Swan goose). Its description in RNAcentral is "lncRNA (ENSACDG00005000512.1)". Lineage: Eukaryota; Metazoa; Chordata; Aves; Anseriformes; Anatidae. The record is from RNAcentral.
ACAUUUUCCUUGUAUUUUCAGGCUGGGGCUUUUAGACAGCCUUACCAACAGUUUAGCCUUAGCAAAUGCAAUGAACUUCCUCUUAGUUUCAGCUGCCUUUUAAAGUGAUGUAUCCUGUUUUUACCUAACAUUUGAUGAUUCUUUCUUAUUAAGGUCUGAUCCUUUUUGUCUGUCUUCAGGUCAGGCCUCUGCUCUGGAUGUAGGUCAGCUCCUAUAGCCAUAGGAUCUCACGUUCUGCCUCACUGAAAAAAAUAGUUCGUUCUUGGUAUUUCAUGUCUUGUGUUUCUUUGAUGGUUCUCCUUCGCAGUCCUGCAUUUUGCAGUCUGCAGCUCAGACAGAUGUGCUUUAUCAGCGAGUGAAUGAGCUGUGAAAGAUGCACUCUAAUCAAGAGCACGAAGCUCCUGUUCUGGGUGUUUAGACAACGGCACUUUCCCCGUGGCUUUGAUCAGUGCCCGUUCAAUCAAGGCGCAGCCUCCUCCUAACUUUCUGACUGCUGACUUCAGGUGCCUGGCUGACUCCUACUUGCUGCAUGAGUUGGGAUGAACCUGGAGUCAAGACUUUCUCUGCCCUUUCUUUGCAAGUCAUUCACCCAACACCUAGUUUGCAGAUGCAGGUCUGUGUCUUUAAGAAGAGACUCUCUAGUACUCCUCCAUAAACC